This 75-nucleotide transfer RNA is filed under the name Marmota monax (woodchuck). RNAcentral describes it as "tRNA.Ala". The record is from RNAcentral. Lineage: Eukaryota; Metazoa; Chordata; Mammalia; Rodentia; Sciuridae.
UUGUAUGUAGCUCAGUGGUGGAGUGCUUACUUUGCAUGUGUGAGGCACUGGGUUCAAUCCUCACCACCAUAUAAA